This 524-nucleotide ribosomal RNA is filed under the name uncultured bacterium. Its description in RNAcentral is "partial 16S ribosomal RNA". It matches the Rfam family "Bacterial small subunit ribosomal RNA", at positions 28 to 523 of the family's 1533-position model. The record is from RNAcentral.
GACGAACGCUGGCGGCGUGCUUAACACAUGCAAGUCGAACGGACAGACAGAGAGCUUGCUCUCUUGAAGUUAGUGGCGAACGGGUGAGUAACGCGUAAUCAACCUGCCCUUCAGAGGGGGAUAACAACGGGAAACCGUUGCUAAUACCGCGUACGAUUCAUGAACGGCAUCGUCUAUGAAUGAAAGGUGGCCUCUAUGUAUAAGCGAUCGCUGAAGGGGGGGAUUGCGUCUGAUUAGCUAGUUGGAGGGGUAACGGCCCAACAAGGGAAUGAUCAGUAGCCGGUCUGAGAGGAUGAACGGCCACAUUGGGACUGAGACACGGCCCAAACUCCUACGGGAGGCAGCAGUGGGGAAUCUUCCGCAAUGGACGAAAGUCUGACGGAGCAACGCCGCGUGAGUGAUGAAGGUCUUCGGAUUGUAAAGCUCUGUUAAUCGGGACGAAAGAGUUCUGCGUGAAUAAUGCAGAAAAGUGACGGUACCGGAAUAGAAAGCCACGGCUAACUACGUGCCAGCAGCCGCGGUAA